RNAcentral lists this long non-coding RNA (645 nucleotides) under Chloebia gouldiae (Gouldian finch). Its description in RNAcentral is "Erythrura gouldiae (Gouldian finch) lncRNA (ENSEGOG00005016131.1)". The record is from RNAcentral. Lineage: Eukaryota; Metazoa; Chordata; Aves; Passeriformes; Passeridae.
GUGCUCACUACUUGUGCAUUUUAGCUCAUCAAUUUGUUCUGAUUCCAGCUGUACCAACUGUCCUUUGAGUGAUGAUGAAAGUACUUCUGCCUUUUUCUGCCCACGUCUGAUGCAAUGGAGCCUUUUACAUAACACCAACUCCUGUAACAAUCUGUCUCCUCUAUACACAGCAUUUUCAGAGGCUUGUAACAUUUUCACAGGUUGUUCUGUUCUCUAACAGAGAAAAGAGAAGCACACAUGGGUAGCCACGGCUACCUAUGCUCAAGCAUGUCCUUCCUGCUGGUGCCCCAGAAAUAACAGGGCUAAUCUUGCUGACAUCUGUGUGUGCCACCUGCAAGUGGGGAGGAUGCUGCAGGAGACAGGGGGAUCUUCUGUGCAUCCACCCCAUCUCUGUUGUUUUUGUGCCUCAUAAUGAGCACAUCUGACACCAGACAAGUCUCAGCUUUUCCCUUUGUGGAUGCCCAGGGAAUGCCAAGGUCACAGAAUAGAUCUGUUUUCAUGGCUUCUUGUCUGCUUUUUGCACAUACAAAUGAGAUUGCUGAGUAAGAAGAGAGGGGAAAUAUGAACUAACACAACAGAGUAUCCUACAGGUGGAAAACACCUGGGAGAUAAGGCAAAUAAACUUGUUCUUUACUCCUAGCUGCA